RNAcentral lists this long non-coding RNA (756 nucleotides) under Anas platyrhynchos platyrhynchos (common mallard). RNAcentral describes it as "lncRNA (ENSAPLG00000023505.1)". Lineage: Eukaryota; Metazoa; Chordata; Aves; Anseriformes; Anatidae. The record is from RNAcentral.
CACAGGAGCCCAGUGAUGUCUCUUAAGAGCACAUGUGCUAGUAUGAGCUCAUCUUUAUUUCUAUGUCCUCAGAACAAAUGAGUGAAGCUUUCAAAUGAGAUCAUGUAAUGCAGGCUUCUAGGUUCUCCUUCAAAAUGUGAUCUAAGCUCUAAUAAGGUUAGAAGAUCUUUCUGGUAGUAGCAGUGUCUUCAUCAACUACCUCAGUGCUCUGUGGGUAUAAUGCAUAGAUAAGGGGUAAUGCAUUUAUCAGUUGCUGUAAUUGUUGUUUAGUAUCUGUGUUUUUAUAAAGUUUUCCAUGGUCAUCCUGCUGUCAGCCACUCUAUGAUCAGCUCACUGUAGACAUCUGUACGAAACAUGUUCCAGCAUGAUUUCUCUUGGAGUUCUUAUUGUCACAUUUUUUGUUUUACUUUCGUUAAUCUAAAAGGCUCUCUGUGGCUAUACAUGUAUUUUUGCUUUUCAUAUGGGGAAAUCUGAUGCUUGACACAAAAUAAAUAACAGGCUGUUCAGUGCUGAAAAUGCAGAUGGAUGCAGCAAUGCCUUGCAGUCCUUCCCUGUGCCAGAAAUAGCAGAAGGCAUUUCCUUAACUGGCUUUUUGUUGGCAGAGAAUUGAAUGGCACUAGAAAUACAGGGAGAUGCAGCGCCGGAUUCCUGGGGCCAGCUGUAGCUGGGCUUUGUGGUCCCAGCUGUGCCUGGAUGGACCAGCAGAGGCAGAGCCAGGACAUUUUCCUUGCAGACCUUGCUCCUAACUUAUUUUAG